UACGUAGGGUCCGAGCGUUGUCCGGAGUUACUGGGCGUAAAGCGCGCGCAGGCGGCGGUGCUGGCCCGGCGUGAAAGCCCCCGGCUCAACCGGGGAGAGUCGUCGGGGACCGCACCGCUUGAGGGCGGUAGGGGCUGGUGGAAUGCCUGGUGUAGUGGUGAAAUGCGUAGAGAUCGUGAGGAAGACCCGUGGCGAAGGCGGAUCUCUGGACGGCUAACUGACGCUGAGGCGCGAAGGCCAGGGGAGCAAACGGG
This 254-nucleotide ribosomal RNA is filed under the name uncultured bacterium. RNAcentral's name for it is "partial 16S ribosomal RNA". It matches the Rfam family "Bacterial small subunit ribosomal RNA", at positions 524 to 776 of the family's 1533-position model. The record is from RNAcentral.